This 377-nucleotide unclassified non-coding RNA is filed under the name soil metagenome. RNAcentral's name for it is "partial contains 5.8S ribosomal RNA, internal transcribed spacer 2, and large subunit ribosomal RNA". The stretch from base 1 to 120 matches the Rfam family "5.8S ribosomal RNA", at positions 35 to 154 of the family's 154-position model. The record is from RNAcentral.
GAUGAAGAACGUAGCGAAAUGCGAUAAGUAAUGUGAAUUGCAGAAUUCAGUGAAUCAUCGAAUCUUUGAACGCACCUUGCACCCUUUGGCAUUCCGAAGGGUAUGCUCGUUUGAGUGUCAUUGUACUCUAACACUUCCGAUCUUUGGAUUGGGAGCGGUGGACUUGGGUGUUGCUGCUUACUGUGGCUCACCUCAAAUCGAUUCGUGCACCUCUUGGUUGGACAUAGUACGGCGUGAUAAGUGUCUUCGCCGGCACCUCAGUAGAGGGUGGCUGAUCGGGAGCUCUGCUUCAAACCGUCCUCGGACAACAACUGACAACUUGACCUCAAAUCGAGUAGGACUACCCGCUGAACUUAAGCAUAUCAAUAAGCGGAGGA